GACGAACGCUGGCGGCGCGCUUAACACAUGCAAGUCGAGCGAUGAAAUCUUAACAGAACCUUUCGGGGCGAAGAUAAGACGGAUUAGCGGCGGACGGGUGAGUAACACGUGAGUAACCUGCCUUUUACACAGGGAUAGCCUCGGGAAACCGGGAUUAAAACCUGAUGAAACUAUCAAAUCACAUGAUUAAGAAAGUUAAAACUCCGGUGGUAAAAGAUGGACUCGCGUCCCAUUAGCUAGUUGGUGAAGGUAACGGCCCACCAAGGCAACGAUGGGUAGCCGGCCUGAGAGGGUGAACGGCCACAUUGGAACUGAGAAACGGUCCAAAUUCCUACGGGAGGCAGCAGUGGGGAAUAUUGCACAAUGGGGGAAACCCUGAUGCAGCGACGCCGCGUGAGCGAAGAAGGCCUUCGGGUCGUAAAGCUCUUUUAUAUGGGAAGAUAAUGACGUACCAUAA
Molecule: ribosomal RNA, 457 nt
Filed under: Peptoniphilus sp. oral taxon 836
Lineage: Bacteria; Bacillati; Bacillota; Tissierellia; Tissierellales; Peptoniphilaceae
Description: bacterial SSU rRNA
Rfam family: Bacterial small subunit ribosomal RNA
Source: RNAcentral